This 239-nucleotide long non-coding RNA is filed under the name Elaeis guineensis (African oil palm). RNAcentral's name for it is "long non-coding RNA (EGUI_LNC008624)". Lineage: Eukaryota; Viridiplantae; Streptophyta; Magnoliopsida; Arecales; Arecaceae. The record is from RNAcentral.
CUGGACAAUUUGAGGAAAGAGCUCAUGAAAAUUUAUCAAUCAAAAAAACAAAAAAAGAAGGUUAUAAGAAAGAAAAAAGAAAUCAUAAAAGACAAUUUUCUGAUAAACUUUGUGGGUUAAGCAACUAUAUAUUUAGCUCUAAUAACGUGGAAUAAUCUAUGGAAGCAAAACAAAUACCGCAGCAGGGGCCAAGAGCGUGGGGCUGGCGCUUGCAAGCAUCGGCAGGGGAUAAGAGCCUG